UACAGCCAUAUCACAUUGAAACACCAGUUCCCUUAUGAUCACAGAAGUUAAGCAACAUUGAGCCUGGUCAGUACCAAGAUGGGUGACUACUUGGUAAUACCAGGUGCGGUA
Molecule: non-coding RNA, 111 nt
Organism: Acanthosepion pharaonis
Lineage: Eukaryota; Metazoa; Mollusca; Cephalopoda; Sepiida; Sepiidae
Source: the annotation of a GenBank genome assembly